GACGAACGCUGGCGGCGUGCUUAACACAUGCAAGUCGAGCGGAAAGGCCCUUUCGGGGGUACUCGAGCGGCGAACGGGUGAGUAACACGUGAGUAAUCUGCCCUUCACUUGGGGAUAACUACCGGAAACGGUGGCUAAUACCCGAUAUGACCAAUCACUGCAUGGUGUGUUGGUGGAAAGUUUUUUCGGUGGAGGAUGUGCUCGCGGCCUAUCAGCUUGUUGGUGGGGUAAUGGCCUCCCAAGGCUUCGACGGGUAGCCGGCCUGGGAGGGUGACCGGCCACACGGGGACUGAGACACGGCCUAGACUCCUACGGGAGGCAGCAGUGGGGAAUAUUGGACAAUAGGCGAAAGCCUGAUCCAGCAACGCCGCGUGAGGGAUGACGGCCUUCGGGUUGUAAACCUCUUUCAGCGGGGACGAAGCGCCGGUAAUGGUGGUGACGGUACCCGCAGAAGAAGCACCGGCCAACUACGUGCCAGCCGCCGCCGUAA
RNAcentral lists this ribosomal RNA (490 nucleotides) under uncultured bacterium. RNAcentral's name for it is "partial 16S ribosomal RNA". It matches the Rfam family "Bacterial small subunit ribosomal RNA", at positions 28 to 523 of the family's 1533-position model. The record is from RNAcentral.